This 896-nucleotide long non-coding RNA is filed under the name Camarhynchus parvulus. RNAcentral's name for it is "lncRNA (ENSCPVG00000018495.1)". The record is from RNAcentral. Lineage: Eukaryota; Metazoa; Chordata; Aves; Passeriformes; Thraupidae.
GCUGAACAGACAAGAGGCGCCCCAGAGCCGCGCUCACCUGCGGAGCCUCCGCGCAUCCCCCGAGCCCGCGGAGCGGCCGCGCACCUGCGGAGCCCUGCGGAGCCCUGCGGAGCGGAGCGGGGCGCGGCGCAGCCUCUCCCCGCUGAGGGGAGCCCCAGCCCCGCCGGGGGAGGCUCGGCUCGGCUCCGGCACCUCGCGGGGUGGGGAGAGAGAGGCGCUGCCCGCCCCCCCGGGGCUUCCCCGCUAAGUGUGACGGAGCCGCCGCCUCCCGGCGCAGCGCAGCGGCCCCGGCGCAGGAGGAGGCGCCGUGCGCGGCCCGAGUCCCCGGGCGCUGCCGCCGGUGAGGGGACAGCGCCGGCUCCGCGCUCCCGGCGGCUCCGCUCCGCUCGCCGGCUCAGGUCUUGCAUGCUGUGACACAAAGAUCUCCUCGCCUGGAGCGCUAUGUUCAUGUUUUGAAAUCAAGAUUGAUUAGCCAACAGGAGAAGACCCAGCUGGUUAUGUGACUCAGAACCCUGUUCAUGAGGCACUUGCUUGUUUUUACAAGACAACUGUAAGUUGCUUCUUUUUCUUUUCCUCCCUCAAAUGAAAAAUCUACUGUUGUAACUUCAUAGAAAUUCUGGAACAUUCUUGAGGAAUUCACUUUUUUGGUAAAGACAAUCUUGAAUUUUGGCUUGGUGAUGCCGGCCAAGGACCAGACGUGCUCUAUUCACUUUACCAGAGAUUUUUUUCCCCACGUUGUGAUGGUUUUACAUUUCUUAAUUGUUUAAGGAGAGGUUCCCUUGGCUAGGAAGAUCAAUCUGCUGUCUCUGUACGUUGUGCUGUGUGACAUUUGGGAUCAGGGAAUGUGACAAACUGUUUGGAGUGCACUGCUGAUGGGUUGUGCCAGGAGAUGCCGA